RNAcentral lists this transfer RNA (77 nucleotides) under Ereboglobus luteus. RNAcentral describes it as "tRNA-Arg". It matches the Rfam family "tRNA". From Rfam's summary of the family: Transfer RNA (tRNA) molecules are approximately 80 nucleotides in length. Their secondary structure includes four short double-helical elements and three loops (D, anti-codon, and T loops). Further hydrogen bonds mediate the characteristic L-shaped molecular structure. tRNAs have two regions of fundamental functional importance: the anti-codon, which is responsible for specific mRNA codon recognition, and the 3' end, to which the tRNAs corresponding amino acid is attached (by aminoacyl-tRNA synthetases). tRNAs cope with the degeneracy of the genetic code in two manners: having more than one tRNA (with a specific anti-codon) for a particular amino acid; and 'wobble' base-pairing, i.e. permitting non-standard base-pairing at the 3rd anti-codon position. RNAcentral also lists the same sequence under 2 other names. The record is from RNAcentral. Lineage: Bacteria; Pseudomonadati; Verrucomicrobiota; Opitutia; Opitutales; Opitutaceae.
GCGGUGGUAGCUCAGCUGGAUAGAGCAUCGGUUUUCUAAACCGACGGUCGUGGGUUCGAGUCCCGCCCACCGUGCCA